AGCAGAACAGAAUGAGGAAAUAAACAGUUCAGAGUCCGUUUUACAGUCGACAGAGGAGGACAACAAGGAAAUGUGAGCUGGUAGUUUUGGAGGAAUCCUGCUGAAAAGAACAGCAGUGAUCUCACAGGCCUGCUGUGUGGAGAGGAGGAGCAACACUGAGCAGGAGAUCCAGUAACAUGAGAACAAGGAGGAAACAUUCCAGCUGUGGGGUAGUUCAGACUCAGCUGGAGGAAGAAACCUGAUUGUGGAGGCAGACUGACUGAAGUCCACAAGAUGAGUGAUUCUGAGGAGGAGGAGGAGUUUCCAUCCUCCAGCCGUCUGUCCAUGAAGAGUGACUGGUCCAAAGGAGAACCUCCAUGUUUCAGUGAAGAACCUGAACCCUCAGACACAAAAGUUCAGAAGCACAGACAGAGAUCAGAGUUUCCAUCCUCCAGCCGUCUGUCCAUGAAGAGUGACUGGUCCAACAUUCAUCCUCCAGACUUCAGUAAAGAACCUGAACCCUCAGACACAAACAGACAGAGAUCAGAGUUUCCAUCCUCCAGCCGUCUGUCCAUGAAGAGCGACUGGUCCAACAUUCAUCCUCCAGACUUCAGUAAAGAACCUGAACCCUCAGACACAAAAGUGAUGAAGAGGAGGGGAGUUUGUGUGGAGGAGCAGCCGUCCUGCUGUGCUCAGUGUCAGGACGUCCUGAAGGAUCCAGUCUCUAGCAGCUGUGGACACUGGUUCUGCAGACAGUGCAUCAGCUCAUACUGGGACCAGUCUGCUCCAUCAGGACACUCCUCCUGUCCCCAGUGUGGAGAAAGAUCCAGAAGCAGCAGCUGUGGACAAAGUGUUGGUCUGCAGGAGGUUCUGCAGGAACAUAAGAUGAGUCUGAGGAGGAGAUGUGAACAUGUGACUGAAGGAAGUGAUGAAGCAGGAGGUGGAACCCUCCUCAACAGGAUCUACACUGAGCUCUACAUCACAGAGGGACACAGUGGAGAGGCUGAUGUCCAACAUGAGGUGGAGCAGCUGGAGACAGCUUCCAAGAAGAGCCUCCAUGACACUCCCAUCAGGUGCCAGGACAUCUUUAAAGCCUUACCUGAGCAGCAGAGAGCCAUCAGAGUGGUCCUGACCAACGGCGUGGCCGGCGUGGGAAAAACCUUCUCAGUGCUGAAGUUCACUCUGGACUGGGCAGAGGGCGGAGAAAACCAAGACGUCAGUGUGGUGGUGGUGCUUCCGUUCAGGGAGCUGAACUUGAUCAGAGAUGAGCAGCACAGUCUUCUCACGCUGCUCCAUGUUUUCCAUCCAACAUUACAGAAGGUGACGGCAGAGCAGCUGGCUGUCUGUAAACUUUUGUUCAUCUUUGACGGUCUGGAUGAAAGCAGACUUUCACUGGAUUUCACCAACAAGAAGGUUGUGUCUGACGUCAGCCAGAAGUCAUCGCUGGACGUUCUGCUGGUCAACCUCAUGGAGGGGAAUCUGCUUCCCUCGGCUCUGGUCUGGAUCACUUCCCGCCCUGCGGCAGCCAAUCAGAUCCCUCCUAAAUAUGUGGACAGGUUAACAGAAGUACGAGGCUUCACCGACGUCCAGAAGGAGGAGUACUUCAGGAGGAGGAUCAGUGAUGAAGAGCGCUCCAGCACAAUCAUCUCCCACAUGAAGACAUCCAGGAACCUCCACAUCAUGUGUCGACUCCCAGUGUUCUGCUGGAUCACUGCUGCAGUUCUGGAGCACAUGCUGACCACAGAGCAGAGAGGACAGCUGCCCAAGACCAUGACUGACAUGUUCUCACACUUCCUGCUGGUUCAGACACAGAGGAAGAAGAACAAAUACCAUGAGGGACCUGAGACGAGUCCACAGGAGCUGACGGAGUCUGACAGGGAAGUUCUUCUGAAGCUGGGGAGGCUGGCCUUUGAACAUCUGGAGAAAGGAAACAUCAUGUUCUACCAAGAAGACCUGGAGCAGUGUGGUCUGGAUGUGACAGAGGCCUCGGUGUUGUCAGGAGUUUGUACCCAGAUCUUCAGGAGAGAGUGUGAGAUGUUCCAGAAACCAGUCUACUGCUUUGUUCAUCUGAGCAUUCAGGAGUUUCUGGCUGCAGUCUACAUGUUCCACUGUUACACCAACAAGAAGACUGAGGUUCUGGAGAAGUUCCUGGGAGAAGAACAGAAAGAUCUUUAUGUUGAUGAUGAUGAACUUUAUGGUGAUGAUGAGGAGGAGGAGGACGACGAUGAUGAUGAUAAUGUUGACACAGACAUCUCAUCCCUGGAUGUUUUCCUGGACAAAGUCAUGAAGAAAUCCCUCAGAAGUAGAAAUGGUCACCUGGACCUGUUUGUUCGCUUCCUUCAUGGCCUCUAUCUGGAGUCCAACCAGAGAGUCUUAGGAGGUCUGCUGGGUCAGACAGAGAACCGUCCAGAAAUGAUCCAGAGAGUCAUCAACAACCUUCCUGACACAACCAUUUAUGGAAUUUCUCCAGACAGAUGCAUCAACAUCUUCCACUGUCUGAUGGAGAUGAAGGAUCUCUCAGUACAUCAGGAGAUCCAAGAGUUCCUGCAGUCAGAGAACAGAUUAGAGAAGAAACUCUCUGAGAUCCAGUGCUCAGCUCUGGCCUACAUGCUGCAGCUGUCAGAGGAGGUUUUGGAGGAGUUGGACCUUGACAAGUACAACACAUCAGAUGAGGGAAAACGGAGACUGAUUCCAGCUGUGAGGAACUGCAGAAAGUUUCGACUUUCAGAAUGUGGACUCUCAGAGUUUCACUGUAAAGUCGUGGCCUCAGCUCUGAAGUCCAACCCCUCCCAUCUGAUAGAACUGGACCUGAGUAGAAACAUCCUGGAGGAUUCAUCUGUCAAGCAUCUUUGUGAUGGACUGCAGAGUCCAAACUGUAAACUGGAGACUCUCAGAUUGAGGAGCUGCAGUUUGUCAGAGAUCAGCUGUGAUUCUCUGGUCUCAGCUCUGAAGUCCAACCCCUCCCAUCUGGAACAUCUGGACCUGAGUGGAAACGACCUGAAGGAUUCAGGAGUGAAACAUCUGAGUGGUUUUGUGGAGAGUCCAGACUGCAUCCUGAAGACUCUGAGAUUGGAGGACUGCAGUUUGUCAGAGAUCAGCUGUGAUUCUCUGUUCUCAGCUCUGAAGUCCAACCCCUCCCAUCUGAAACAUCUGGACCUGAGUGGGAACAACCUGAAGGAUUCAGGAGUGAAACAUCUGAGUGGUUUUGUGGAGAGUCCAGACUGCAUCCUGAAGACUCUGAGAUUGGAAGGCUGCAGUUUGUCAGAGAUCAGCUGUGAUUCUCUGGUCUCAGCUCUGAAGUUCAACCCCUCCCAUCUGGAACAUCUGGAUCUGAGUGGAAACUACAACAUUCAGGAUUCAGGAGUGAAACAUCUGAGUGGUUUUGUGGAGAGUCCAGACUGCAUCCUGAAGACUCUGAGAUUGGAGAAAUGCAGUUUGUCAGAGAUCAGCUGUGAUUCUCUGGUCUCAGCUCUGAAGUCCAACCCCUCCCAUCUGGAACAUCUGGAUCUGAGCUGGAACGACCUGAAGGAUUCAGGAGUGAAACAUCUGAGUGGUUUUGUGGAGAGUCCAGACUGCAUCCUGCAGACUCUGAGAUUGGAGAACUGCAGUUUGUCAGAGAUCAGCUGUGAUUCUCUGGUCUCAGCUCUGAAGUCCAACCCCUCCCAUCUGGAACAUCUGGAUCUGAGCAAGAACAACCUGCAGGAAUCAUCAGUGAAACAUCUGUUGGAUCUUGUGGAGAGUCCAGACUGCAUCCUGAAGACUCUGAGGUGGAAGAAGCGCUGAUCAGGACGGUGUUUGUGGUGAGAGGAUGAAGUGUGUCCUGAUGAUCCAGAGGUUAAAGCAGCAGCUGGUGUGCAGAGACUCUGACUGGACCGUGUUACUGGGAGGUGGACUGGGAACCAGUGUAAAGUGUGUUGUUCUCACUGUAUAGUUUAGUGUUGCAGCUCCACACUGAAUGAUGGAGAAGUGCAGUUAAUGUUGACAUGAUCUGUUGGAGGUUGAUGUCAGGUUGCAGAGUGUGCAGGAAGUUUCAGGAUGUUUGUGUCGGUGCAGGAUUCUAUUUCAGUUGACUUUCUAUUUCCAGCUGCAGUCAAAGUUGUUGAUCUUCUCUACCUGCAGCACAUUGAGCUGAUGAGAACAAAGUGUCCUGGAAACAUGUCAGCUGAAGCCUUGGAGCCCAGAGAGAGUUUAAUGAAACACAUUUUACUGGGUUUUUAAAAAUAUGAAUAUUGAGCUGAGCUCCUGUAAAAUCUGGGCUCAAAGCUAACAUUAGUUUCUGAGUUCAAAGUCCUUAAAGAAGGUGGUCAUGAGGAUUUGAUGUGUGGUUUUCUUCAUACCAGUCUGUGGAUGGAUGUCUGAAAUAAUGACAAAUAAUGCAGUCCUGAAGUUUAACCUUCUCAUUGAUGUGAACAUCUGGUCUUCAAUGGUUCAACCUGCUGUGAUAGAAUAAUACAAAGCAGUUCUAUGAAGGUGGAAGUUUGGUCCAAACAUCUCAAUGUUUCUGUUCUGAUUCUCCACCAACCAUAAAACAUUUAUUUCCAUCCUGAGGGGCUGAAUUAUUUUCCUGUGAUUGACACCAAUAGAAGCUUUAAAAAUGUAGAGUUUGGUUCCAGUCAGAGCAACUUUGUGACAAAAUCUCGUAAAAUGAGGUUUUCUGCAUUUCUGGUCAGUAUCAGGAUGAUGACUGAGCAGGUUUGAUCAUGAAAGCAGUCCAAUAGUGUCCCAGCUGGAAGAGUUCCAUCAUAUUAUUGGUCAGAUUUCCUGUAAUUCAGCAGCAUGCAGCAAACAGAGGCUGCUUCAUGAACACACACUCUGACUGUGAGCUGAAAAUCCACAUUUGAUUCUCUUUGACUGAUAUCUGCCCACUUGGAGUCUCACUUCCAGGUUUUCAGCCUUCAUCUGUUUCUGGGAGUCUGACAUGAUGAUCUUUUAGUUUUGUGCUUCUGCUAGCAUCACCUCACUGCUGCUAAUAAUUCAGUCUGAGCUUUUAGAACAUCUGGAUGAAACAUAAUCCUGACUCAUCUUGUAGAGAACAAUCAGAGCCUUGAAGCCUUUAAAUAAAGUCUGUCUUCACUGCUGUCAGAGCUGAUCGUUUGUUAGAAUUGAAUUUGUAAAUACAUUUAUCAUAAUCAAGCCUUAGAGCAUUAACUGUGUGUGCAUAGUGUUUUACAUGACUAUUUUUAUAGAAUACCACUCACUCACUUCUAUCUGCACAUAUCUCUCUCUCUCUCUCCCUAGUCUCCACAUCCCAGUAUAUUUCCACUCUUUCAGCUUAGCACACCCCCUUGUGUAACUCGAGCUAUUUCUUAUCUUAUGCUAUGUUUUCAUCUCUGCUUGUGUAUAAAAUAAACUUCGUAUGGGAGCAGUCUUUGCAGCUCGCACUAAUGUGUCUUGUUACACUGUGCUGUGUUGCCCUUGCAAGUAAAAUUACAGUCUCCGUGUUUUUCUGGUUUGGUGAAUAUCUUCUUAUGUUAUGUGUCAGCUCUCAGCGGAGCUUCUCUCUGACAUCGUUGUCAGGACUUUAUUCCACCUUGUUUUCUUCCAGUCAAAUAUCUGAGGGAUGAACACCAACAACAGUCCAUAAACUGCUCUUUUACAGCUCAGUUCAUUCUUUUAGUGUUUUUCUUUAUUCACAUAUUUAUCAUGUGUCUUUUACUGUGGACUUAUUUGUUCAUCUCUGUCAUUCAUUCCAAGCAGUUUAUUUAGAGACGCUGAUGUUUUGUCAUGUGUGCAAAAUCUGAAAUGUAACAGCGCCCUCUGGUGGUCAUGUUUGUAACUUCAGAUUUCUCUUUCAUUUUUCAGUCUGUUGCAGUAAAAUGUCAUUUGUACCUGGAUGAGUUGUAUCUGUGUGGACAUGACUGUUUGUCUGGAUCAUAACAGGACAGACUGUGAGCAGCUUUCUCUGAUUUAGUCCUGAUAUGUGAUGAUGUUGUGAGCAGCAUCAAGCACCAAGGCCUCACACAGACUGAGAACUCCUCAGCUGAGGAGUCUGAGUUGUCUCCAUGAGAAAAGCAAAGCUGUACUGUGUGAAGGACGGAUACUCUGAUCAGUUUGUGUUGAAUGUUUUUCUGUGGAUCACAUCUCUGAACAUGAUCCUGGUGUUGGAGCUCUGCCCUUUCAGCUCAAAUAUUCACUCUGCAUUUCUCUUCUUUAUUAUAAAUCGUUACUCCUUUUAUUCUUUAAUAAAUUACAAAGACUAA
This is an RNA transcript of Acanthochromis polyacanthus (spiny chromis), 6179 nucleotides long. It is a transcript of the gene named NACHT, LRR and PYD domains-containing protein 12-like, with no coding region annotated. Lineage: Eukaryota; Metazoa; Chordata; Actinopteri; Pomacentridae. The transcript has 15 exons. The record is from RefSeq and is a predicted model, not a curated record.